Molecule: ribosomal RNA, 461 nt
Filed under: uncultured Sphingobacteriales bacterium
Lineage: Bacteria; Pseudomonadati; Bacteroidota; Sphingobacteriia; Sphingobacteriales
Description: bacterial SSU rRNA
Rfam family: Bacterial small subunit ribosomal RNA
Source: RNAcentral
CCCGCACAAGCGGAGGAGCAUGUGGUUUAAUUCGAUGAUACGCGAGGAACCUUACCUGGGCUCGAACGUAAGAUGACUGUAGGUGAAAGCUUACAUCUCUUCGGAGCAUUUUACGAGGUGCUGCAUGGUUGUCGUCAGCUCGUGCCGUGAGGUGUCGGGUUAAGUCCCAUAACGAGCGCAACCCCUACCUUUAGUUGCCAUCAGGUUAAGCUGGGACUCUAAAGGAACUGCCUACGCAAGUAGUGAGGAAGGCGGGGGUGACGUCAAAUCAGCACGGCCCUUACGUCCAGGGCUACACACGUGCUACAAUGGCCGAUACAGAGGGCAGCUACCUGGUGACAGGAUGCAAAUCUCCAAAGUCGGUCUCAGUUCGGAUCGGAGUCUGCAACCCGACUCCGUGAAGUUGGAUUCGCUAGUAAUCGCGCAUCAGCCAUGGCGCGGUGAAUACGUUCCCGGGCCUU